This 686-nucleotide ribosomal RNA is filed under the name Canthocamptidae sp. BOLD:ACJ8158. RNAcentral describes it as "eukaryotic LSU rRNA". It matches the Rfam family "Eukaryotic large subunit ribosomal RNA", at positions 368 to 965 of the family's 3401-position model. Lineage: Eukaryota; Metazoa; Arthropoda; Copepoda; Harpacticoida; Canthocamptidae. The record is from RNAcentral.
AAAGAACUUUGAAGAGAGAGUUCAAGAGUACGUGAAACUGUGUAGUGGUAAACAGAGGCGUUCUCGAAGUCGCGGGCGGAGGUUCAGGCUAACGUGGGUCUCGCCUCCGCGUCUGGGAUCCGCAAGGACUCGGCGCGGUGGUGGGGGCUCUCGGUGGCAGCAUUUCUCCGCCCGUUCACGCAACGAACCGCUGGGACUGGACUGAGGGCGUGGGUGAAGUUCGCGGCCUCGGCUGCGAGCCCCGCGUUCCUAGCUUCGGACCCGGCGGGUAGCUAAGCAGGCUCGUAUAGCGAGUGUCUUCACUGGCACGGCUUGCAUCUCAGUUGCGAGUAGGUCGGCGGCGCCUCUGACCCGUCUUGAAACACGGACCAAGGAGUCUAACAUGUGUGCGAGUCAUUGGGUUGACUAAACCUAGCGGCGCAGUGAAAGCAAAGGCUGCCCAGCAGCUCAGGGACGAUCCCCCUCGCGGGGCGCAAUCCCGGCGCUUCGCAUCGACCUCGCUUCGUGCGGAGCAGCAAGAGCAUACACGUUGGGACCCGAAAGAUGGUGAACUAUGCCUGGCCAGGUUGAAGUCAGGGGAAACCCUGAUGGAGGACCGUAGCGAUUCUGACGUGCAAAUCGAUCGUCGGAGCUGGGUAUAGGGGCGAAAGACUAAUCGAACCAUCUAGUAGCUGGUUCCUUCCGAA